RNAcentral lists this unclassified non-coding RNA (213 nucleotides) under plant metagenome. RNAcentral describes it as "partial contains small subunit ribosomal RNA, internal transcribed spacer 1, and 5.8S ribosomal RNA". The record is from RNAcentral.
UUUCCGUAGGUGAACCUGCGGAAGGAUCAUUCAUAAUAAGUGUUUUAUGGCACUUUUUUAAAUCCAUAUCCACCUUGUGUGCAAUGUCAGGGUUGAUUUUUCUCUCGAGAGGAUCAUCCCCAAACAUCAACUAUAUCUCAACUCUUUGUCUGAAAAAUAUUAUGAAUAAAACAAUUCAAAAUACAACUUUCAACAACGGAUCUCUUGGCUCUC